AUGGAUAAUGCUGCCUAUGCAUAUAGUGAACACAAAUUUAACAUUGCAAUGAAUGACCUUAGAGCUGAGUGUGAGCAAGCUUGGGAGUGGCUUUGUCAAAUACCCAAGAAAACAUGGGCAAGGCAUGCAUUUGACACAAACUGCAAGACUGACCUUGUAGUUAACAAUUUAUCUGAGGUGUUCAACAAGUAUGUCCUAGAUGUUAGGAAGAAACCAAUUAGGACAAUGUGUGAUGGAAUAAAGGAUAAGCAGAUGGUGAGGUGGCAUAGGAAUAGGGAGAGUGGAAAGAAAGCUAGAUGGGACAUAACACCCCAUUAUAGUGAGAAGCUAGAGGUUGAGAAGGAGAGGGCCAAAUAUUGCAAACCAAUUCAAGCUGUUGUGGACUUGUGGCAAGUUACAAGUGGGCAGCAAACCCAUGCUGUUAACUUGCAAAUGCACACAUGUGGGUGCAGAAAAUGGGACCUAAGUGGCAUCCCAUGUAACCAUGCCAUCUCAGCAAUAAACAAGGCCAAAAGAAAACCAGAGGAUUAUGUCAGCAAGUUCUUCAAGAAAGAAAUUUAUCUGGCAGCUUAUGAACCAAUGAUCUAUCCAGUUCCUAGUGAGCAUGACUGGACAAGGACCCCUGGUCCAGACAUUGACCCACCUGCAUUUAAAGUGAAGAGAGGAAGAAAGAAAGAGAAGAGGAUCAAGGGGAAAUUUGAAGUCCCAAAGCCUAAGGAGACAUCAAGAAUGGGGACUAUAACAUGUGGCAAUUGUGGACUGCAAGGACAUAGGUACACAAGCUGCAACAAGCAGUUGAAGCCUGAGCUGGCUUUGAGGAAGAACAAACAUGUGCCUCUUGCAAGGAAUUCCAAUGCUGGUGCUGCUGCUACUACACAAGCAUCAACAACUUCUCAUCCAACUCCUACAACAACACCAACAGCUGGAACAGGAGCUGGGAGAGGAGCUAUGAGAGGAGCUGGGAGAGGGGCUGCAGCUGCAGCUGCUGGGACUGGUGCUGCUAGAGGUGCUGGUAGAGGUGCUGGUAGAGGUGCUGCACCAGGUGCUGGGAGAGGUGCUGGGAGAGGGAGAGGUACAUUCUCUGCCCCAAGGCAAUCUGGUCCCUCCACAUCUACUGCUCCCUCUACAUCUACUGCUACUCCACCUUCUGGUGGUAGAAACAGAGGAUGGAGAGCCUACUUCUAUGCAAGUGGUAACCACUAA
Molecule: ribosomal RNA, 1203 nt
Filed under: Triticum aestivum (bread wheat)
Lineage: Eukaryota; Viridiplantae; Streptophyta; Magnoliopsida; Poales; Poaceae
Description: partial small subunit ribosomal RNA
Source: RNAcentral